RNAcentral lists this ribosomal RNA (253 nucleotides) under uncultured bacterium. Its description in RNAcentral is "partial 16S ribosomal RNA". It matches the Rfam family "Bacterial small subunit ribosomal RNA", at positions 524 to 776 of the family's 1533-position model. The record is from RNAcentral.
UCCAGAGGUCCCAAGCGUUGUUCGGAUUCACUGGGCGUAAAGGGUGCGUAGGCUGUGCUGUAAGUCAGGCGUGAAAGCCCCGGGCUCAACCUGGGAAUUGCGCUUGAUACUGCGGCGCUGGAAGGUGGGAGAGGAUGGCGGAAUUCCCAGUGUAGAGGUGAAAUUCGUAGAUAUUGGGAAGAACACCGGUGGCGAAGGCGGCCAUCUGGCCCACAUUUGACGCUGAGGCGCGAAAGCGUGGGGAGCAAACAGG